This 395-nucleotide ribosomal RNA is filed under the name uncultured bacterium. Its description in RNAcentral is "partial 16S ribosomal RNA". It matches the Rfam family "Bacterial small subunit ribosomal RNA", at positions 338 to 730 of the family's 1533-position model. The record is from RNAcentral.
CCUACGGGUGGCAGCAGUGAGGAAUAUUGGUCAAUGGUCGUAAGCCUGAACCAGCCAAGCCGCGUGAGUGAUGAAGGUCCUAUGGAUCGUAAACCUCUUUUAUAAGGGAAUAAAGUGCGGGACGCGUCCCGUUUUGUAUGUACCUGAUGAAUAAGGAUCGGCUAAAUCCGUGCCAGCAGCCGCGGUAAUACGGAGGAUCCGAGCGUUAUCCGGAUUUAUUGGGGUUAAAGGGUGCGUAGGCGGCCUUUUAAGUAAGCGGUGAAAGUCUGGGGCUCAACCCUAGCAUUGCCGUUGAAACUGGGAGGAUUGAGUAUGUUAGAGGUAGGCGGAAUGCGUGGUGUAGCGGUGAAAUGCUUAGAUAUCACGCAGAACCCCGAUUGCGAAGGCAGCCUGCC